This 322-nucleotide ribosomal RNA is filed under the name uncultured eukaryote. Its description in RNAcentral is "partial 18S ribosomal RNA". It matches the Rfam family "Eukaryotic small subunit ribosomal RNA", at positions 1470 to 1796 of the family's 1831-position model. The record is from RNAcentral.
CCCUUAGAUGUUCUGGGCCGCACGCGUGCUACACUGAGUGGAUCAGCGGGUCAGGUUGCGCGAAAGCGUUUCCUAAUCUUUAAAUCCGCUCGUGAUGGGGAUUGACGGUUGCAAUUUUCUGUCAUGAACGAGGAAUACCUUGUAAGCGCGGGUCAUCAUCCCACGCUGAAUACGUCCCUGCCCUUUGUACACACCGCCCGUCGCUCCUACCGAUUGAGUGGUCCGGUGAGGCUUUGGGAUCUGAGCGGAAAGAGCGUUUCGCUGUUUCUGCUCGGAAAACUCAGUCGAACCUUAUCAUUUAGAGGAAGGAGAAGUCGUAACA